This 479-nucleotide ribosomal RNA is filed under the name uncultured bacterium. Its description in RNAcentral is "partial 16S ribosomal RNA". It matches the Rfam family "Bacterial small subunit ribosomal RNA", at positions 28 to 507 of the family's 1533-position model. The record is from RNAcentral.
GAUGAACGCUAGCGGGAGGCCUAACACAUGCAAGCCGAGCGGUAGAGUUCCUUCGGGAACUUGAGAGCGGCGUACGGGUGCGUAACACGUGUGCAACCUACCUUUAUCUGGGGGAUAGCCUUUCGAAAGGAAGAUUAAUACCCCAUAAUAUAAUGAUUGGCAUCAAUUAUUAUUGAAAACUCCGGUGGAUAGAGAUGGGCACGCGCAAGAUUAGAUAGUUGGUGAGGUAACGGCUCACCAAGUCAAUGAUCUUUAGGGGUCCUGAGAGGGAGAUCCCCCACACUGGUACUGAGACACGGACCAGACUCCUACGGGAGGCAGCAGUGAGGAAUAUUGGACAAUGGGUGAAAGCCUGAUCCAGCCAUCCCGCGUGAAGGAUGACGGUCCUAUGGAUUGUAAACUUCUUUUGUACAGGGAUAAACCUACUCUCGUGAGGGUAGCUGAAGGUACCGUACGAAUAAGCACCGGCUAACUCCGUG